ACGCUCGACACCUACGGGAGCAGCAGUGAGGAAUAUUGGUCAAUGGGCGCUAGCCUGAACCAGCCAAGUAGCGUGAAGGAUGAAGGCUCUAUGGGUCGUAAACUUCUUUUAUAUAAGAAUAAAGUGCAGUAUGUAUACUGUUUUGUAUGUAUUAUAUGAAUAAGGAUCGGCUAACUCCGUGCAAGCAGCCGCGGUAAUCUGAGCGGGCUGGCAAGGC
Molecule: ribosomal RNA, 217 nt
Filed under: uncultured bacterium
Lineage: Bacteria
Description: partial 16S ribosomal RNA
Rfam family: Bacterial small subunit ribosomal RNA
Source: RNAcentral